CCUACGGGAGACUGCAGUAGGGAAUAUUCGGCAAUGGACGCAAGCCUGAACGAGCCACGUAGCGUGAGGGAUGACUGCCCUACGAGUUGUAAACUUCUUUUAUAAAGAAAUAAAGUGAGGCUCGUAUGCCUAUGUGUACUUACUUUAUGAAUAAGGAUCGGCUAACUACGUGCCAGCAGCCUCGCUAAUACGGAGGAUCCGAGCGUUGUCCGGAUUUAUUGUGUUUAAAGGGAGCGGAGAUGGGUUGUUAAGUCAGUUGUGAAAGCUUGCGGCUCAACCGUAGAAUUGCAAUGGAUACUGGCAGUCUUGAGUACAGUUGAGGAAGGUGGAAUUCGAGGUGUAGCGGUGAAAUGCUUAGAUAUCACGAAGAACUCCGAUUGCGAAGGCAGCUCACUAAACUGCAACUGACAUUGAGGCUCGAAAGUGUGGGUAGCAAACAGGAUUAGAUACCCUUGUAGUC
This 460-nucleotide ribosomal RNA is filed under the name uncultured bacterium. Its description in RNAcentral is "partial 16S ribosomal RNA". It matches the Rfam family "Bacterial small subunit ribosomal RNA", at positions 338 to 795 of the family's 1533-position model. The record is from RNAcentral.